CUUGAAACGGUUCGGCAAGCACAAAGGCUUGGUCCUGACUUUACUAUCAGCUCUAGCUAAACUUACACAUGCAAGUAUCCGCACCCCUGUGAGAAUGCCCCCCAGUCUCUCCCGCCCGGAAACAAGGAGCCGGUAUCAGGCACGGUCUACACCAGCCCAUGACACCUUGCUUAGCCACACCCUCAAGGGAUAUCAGCAGUGAUAAACAUUAAGCCAUGAGUGAAAACUUGACUUAGUUAAAGCUUGCUCAGCCCUAAAAUUUGAUAGGCCUCUACGCCCUAUCCGCCCGGGUACUACGAGCAUUAGCUUGAAACCCAAAGGAUUGGCGGUGCUUCACAUCCGUCUAGAGGAGCCUGUUCUAGAACCGAUAACCCCCGUUAAACCUCACCCUCCCUUGUUAAUACCGCCUAUAUACCGCCGUCGUCAGCCUACCCUGUGAAGGCCCAGAAGUGAGCAAGAUUGGUAAAACCCAAAACGUCAGGUCGAGGUGUAGUGUAUGGAAGGGGAAGAAAUGGGCUACAUUUCCUAACCCAGGAAAUACGAAUAAUGAACUGAAAUAAGCAUUAGAAGGUGGAUUUAGCAGUAAGCAGAAAAACAGAGUGUUUCGCUGAAGAUAUGGCAAUAAAGCACGCACACAU
This 638-nucleotide ribosomal RNA is filed under the name Neoglyphidodon polyacanthus (multispine damselfish). RNAcentral describes it as "partial 12S large subunit ribosomal RNA". Lineage: Eukaryota; Metazoa; Chordata; Actinopteri; Pomacentridae. The record is from RNAcentral.